Astatotilapia calliptera (eastern happy) is the source of this 1787-nucleotide long non-coding RNA. Lineage: Eukaryota; Metazoa; Chordata; Actinopteri; Cichliformes; Cichlidae. The record is from Ensembl.
CUUUGUGCGUGGGCGUGUUUGGGAGCUGCAGGUGUGUCCAGGUGUGGGUUCGUUGGGUCAGCAGAGGAUCUAACGGGACUUUGUGUCGGUUUGAGUUGUUUUUAAAGGAGGAUGAAGACGCUGGUGGUGUUCCUGCUCCUCAUGAACGUUUUUCAGCAUGCCCUGGCUGUCGUAGUGGAGGUGUAUGAAGAGGAAAACUCUGUAAUGUUGCCUUGUCAGUUCUCCAGUUAUAUACCUAUACACCCAACAGUGAUGUGGAAUCGCAAUGAUAUUGAUCCCAAAUCUGUCCAUGUGCAACGAGAACGAGGAGAUGAUCUCAGAGGACAAAACCAGCAUUACAGAGGACGCACAUCAAUGAAGCCUGAUGCUAUGGACACUUCUGAUUUCAGCCUCACUCUGAGAAAACCAACAAAAGCUGACAGCGGCAACUACACCUGCUCCAUCACAGAUGGGAGCGAAGAAACAAGACUGGGAGAUAUACAACUGCAGGUCAAAGAAAAGCAGGUGGAGGUGAGUGUGGGUGAAAGGUCAGAGUCUGUCAUCCUGCCCUGCAAAACAAAACCUGACCUGCCUGAGGACGCCACAGUGGAGUGGACUCGCUCUGACCGAGAACUGAAGAUCGUCCGUGUCCAUGCAAACGGAAGGGACCGCCAAAAUAACCAAAAUGACCUUUACUGCGGCCGUGCAAAGAUGAAUGAAGACCUGCUGAAAACUGGAGACCUCAGUCUGACCCUGAAACACCCCACAGAGAGAGACAGUGGAGGAUACAUCUGCACCAUCUACAGGGACAAAGACAUCCUGAGACAGAAAGUAGUGCUGCAGGUCAAAGUUUCCCAAUACACCUCAAUUAUCAAGCUGCAUGUAGGGCACCCACUUGUUAUGCUGCCCUGUGAGUUUCACACUUUUGAACUGAGGGACCCUAUAGCGAUGUGGAGUCGCUCCGACCUCAGUCCUCCAACCGUCCACCAGCGUCAGGUUCAAGGAGAUGAACUGAAAGAUCAAAACCAGCGUUACAGCAGCCGAACAUCCAUGAAGACUGACGCUCUGGAAACUGGAGACCUCAGCCUGAACCUGACCAACCUCCAACUGUCUGACAGCGCCACCUACACCUGCUCUGUCAGAGCAUUUGGGCUAGGACACCACACACUGAGAGAGGUGCAAAUGCAGGUCACAGAACGGUUUCCAUCCUGGGCCAAAGCUCUCCUGGUUCUCCUGGUUCUUCUUGUGGUUUCUGGAGGUCUUUUAUUUCAUUUCCGGCACUAUUUCAUGUCAGUCCCCCAGGUGGAGGUGGAUUCAGGGGUGGAGUCUGUCCUGCUGCCCUGCAAGACCGCAGUUUGGCUUCGCAAAGACGCUAAAGUGGAGUGGAAGGAUAAAUAUAACAGGAAUGUCCACAUGUAUGAGAACGGCUCUGACCAGCCUGAAGAACAGCACGAUAAAUACAAAAACCAAACAAAGACGAAGAGAAACUUACUGGAACCUGGAGACCUCAGUCUGACCCUGAAACACCCCACAGAUAGAGACAACUCCACCUACACCUGCACCGUCUACAGCAGGGAGGGAAGGAUCCUGGUGAAGAAGCAAGUGGAGCUGAAAGUCAAAGGUCAGUGCUGUAAAUACAGGUCAAAGGUCAGAGGUCAGACUCAUGAUGGUGGUUCAGUCUCAGUGGCUCCAUCCAAUAAUGUUACAGUGUUAGCAUGUCUGAUGUUUGUGGCUGUUUUGGUUUUUCUUUGAUUUCCAGCCAAAUGUAAAAGCUUCAGCAGAUGAACUGUAGGAGCAAAGUUCAUGUG